CCUAGACCCACUAUCAAGUGUGUGCUUGGACAUGACUUUAUCCUGCACUUUCCAGUGCUGCACUUGGGGAAUCAAAGAAAAGUGAAAGUGCCAUGUCAAAGUUGAUGACCAGAAGCUUGCUAUUGGAACCCUCUCUAUUGAAAAAUACCCUUAGAUAUAAAUUGAUUUGGUUUUCAAUAAAGAGUGUGAGCUAUCACACACAUCGAAAACUACCAGUGUAUUUUUCUUUGGUUACAAGGUUGUGCAACCAAUCGAGGAAGAUGAAUAUUCUUUUUAACAUUGAUUUUUUAUUAGUUUUAUUUCAUGUAAGACUGAUCUAAACUAUUUCUUUGUGGAGUAUUUUGUUUCCUUGACCUCAUUUUUGCUUCUUGCCUCUUACAUAAUCGAUCUUGAUUCUGAAGAUGAAGAGAAGGAGCUAAACAUUCCAGUAAUCAAGGAAAAUGGCAAAGGUGAUGGGAUGGAGGACCAGAGAAGUGAAGAGAAGGCAGUUGCUGCAGCUUCAAAAUCAAGUCUUGGGCUUGAAAAAAAACAAGGAUGAGUAUGAGUCUAAUGAUUCUGAUGAGGGA
Molecule: long non-coding RNA, 566 nt
Organism: Zea mays
Lineage: Eukaryota; Viridiplantae; Streptophyta; Magnoliopsida; Poales; Poaceae
Exons: 3
Source: RefSeq, a predicted model, not a curated record